AACUUUAGACAAUGGAUCCCUCGGCUCUUACUUCGAUGAAGAACGCAGCGAAUUGCGAUAAGUAAUGUGAAUUGCGCAUCUUCGUGAAUCAUCCAAUUUUUGAACGCAUAUUGCACCUACACCUAAACAUGUAGGUAUACCUAUUUCAGCGUCAGUUG
This 158-nucleotide ribosomal RNA is filed under the name uncultured metazoan. Its description in RNAcentral is "5.8S ribosomal RNA". It matches the Rfam family "5.8S ribosomal RNA". From Rfam's summary of the family: 5.8S ribosomal RNA (5.8S rRNA) is a component of the large subunit of the eukaryotic ribosome. It is transcribed by RNA polymerase I as part of the 45S precursor that also contains 18S and 28S rRNA. The record is from RNAcentral. Lineage: Eukaryota; Metazoa.